This 888-nucleotide ribosomal RNA is filed under the name uncultured Ascomycota. RNAcentral's name for it is "SSU rRNA". It matches the Rfam family "Eukaryotic small subunit ribosomal RNA", at positions 49 to 952 of the family's 1831-position model. The record is from RNAcentral. Lineage: Eukaryota; Fungi; Ascomycota.
CCGGGCUUGUCUAGUAUAAGCAAUCAUACUGUGAAACUGCGAAUGGCUCAUUAAAUCAGUUAUCGUUUAUUUGAUAGUACCUUUACCUGGAUAACCGUGGUAAUUCUAGAGCUAAUACAUGCUAAAAACCCCGACUUCGGAAGGGGUGUAUUUAUUAGAUAAAAAACCAAUGCCCUCUGGGCUCCUUGGUGAUUCAUAAUAACUUAACGAAUCGCAUGGCCUUGCGCCGGCGAUGGUUCAUUCAAAUUUCUGCCCUAUCAACUUUCGAUGGUAAGAUAGAGGCUUACCAUGGUCUUAACGGGUAACGGAGAAUUAGGGUUCGAUUCCGGAGAGGGAGCCGGAGGAACGGCUACCACAUCCAAGGAAGGCAGCAGGCGCGCAAAUUACCCAAUGCUAAUUCAGCGAGGUAGUGACAAUAAAUACUGAUACGGGGCUCUUUCGGGUCUCGUAAUUGGAAUGAGUACAAUCUAAAUCCCUUAACGAGGAACAAUUGGAGGGCAAGUCUGGUGCCAGCAGCCGCGGUAAUUCCAGCUCCAAUAGCGUAUAUUAAAGUUGUUGCCGUUAAAAAGCUCGUAGUUGAACCUUGGACCUGGCUGAUCUGUCCUCCUAAUCGAGCGCACGGAUUCGGUCGGGUCUUUCCUUCUGGGGAGCCCUAUGCCCUUCACUGGGUGUAGUGGGGAACCAGGACUUUUACCUUGAAAAAAUUAGAGUGUUCAAAGCAGGCCUUUGCUCGAAUACAUUAGCAUGGAAUAAUAGAAUAGGACAUCGGUUCUAUUUUGUUGGUUUCUAGGACCGCUGUAAUGAUUAAUAGGGAUAGUCGGGGGCGUCAGUAUUCAAUUGUCAGAGGUGAAAUUCUUGGAUUUAUUGAAGACUAACUACUGCGAAAGC